RNAcentral lists this ribosomal RNA (253 nucleotides) under uncultured bacterium. RNAcentral's name for it is "partial 16S ribosomal RNA". It matches the Rfam family "Bacterial small subunit ribosomal RNA", at positions 524 to 776 of the family's 1533-position model. The record is from RNAcentral.
UACAGAGGGUGCAAGCGUUGUUCGGAAUUAUUGGGCGUAAAGCGCGUGUAGACGGCUUUGCAAGUCGGGUGUGAAAGCCCUCAGCUCAACUGAGGAAGUGCGCCCGAAACUGCAGAGCUUGAGUGCCGGAGAGGGUGGCGGAAUUCCCCAAGUAGAGGUGAAAUUCGUAGAUAUGGGGAGGAACACCGGUGGCGAAGGCGGCAUCCUGGACCGGCAUUGACGCUGAGGAGCGAAAGCCAGGGGAGCAAACGGG